Molecule: long non-coding RNA, 3301 nt
Filed under: Sus scrofa (pig)
Lineage: Eukaryota; Metazoa; Chordata; Mammalia; Artiodactyla; Suidae
Description: lncRNA (ENSSSCG00035008167.1, ENSSSCG00065032621.1)
Source: RNAcentral
AAAAGUUUAUUUUCGAACACAGGAUAGCACACUUCCAUAGUUAUUUUUUAUACAAAUAUCACAUUUUCAGUCAUACCCUGCACAUGCUUGUUAAACCUUUGGGGAUAACUACAACUUAAAGUUUUCCAAAUUAUUUCACAAGCCUCUCCAGUUUUCCUGAAGCCGCCCGGCGACAGAAACGAUUCUAACUCGCAUUAACUCUCCCUGGACCCUGUAAGUUAGGGGAGUUCGUUAUCUAAAAAGGGCAAAGAACGGGGUCGGGGUCAGGGUCAGAGUCAGGGCGGCAGUAACGCGGUGGCAGGCAUAGUUACCUCUCGGAUCAGAACACCUGAGCCGUGCAGGGGGCGGGGACGGGGGCGCCGGAGGGGCUGCAGGGUGCGUGGGCGCAGGAGCCUCGGCAGACAGCAACGAAUAGGGCCCCCGGAGAAAGUUGGGAUCCCAAGACCUCCCCGGCGACAAGGCUGUGAACGUCCCAGACAGCCUCCCCCUGCCCGCCGGCCCCGCCCGGCCCCACCGGGAGGGGAGGGCUCGGGCUACUCACCAUGCAGAGAGAGGAACAGCAAAGGCGCCAGAGGAGAGCCCCGACAAGUCAUCCCGGGGCCGCGGGGAGCGCGCCCGCCGUCCGCCCGGCUCCUCGUCGAGGCAACGGAGGCGCGGGCCGGGCUCUCGGCGCUCUCGGGGCAGUACGGACCUCCCAGAGCCACCGCCCGGCCGCAGUCCGUCCAGCGGGGCUGGGACAGUGGGGCGCGCAGACCAGUGAGGUCACUGGUCUCGUUCAUAAAGGCCAUUGUCCCAUUCUGCUUCAGCCUCUCACCCAAGCCUUCUGGAUUAAAGGUGAUACCUCUCCAAAGAAUGACAAGUCAUUCUGAUCAAUUUCUACAGCAGCACAGAUUAGGAUUCUUGGAGCCAUUCCGAAGUUCUGAGCCUCCAUCUAGCAGAUGUAAUUCUCCCAGGGCAACCUAGAAAUGAAAAUAGUAUGCACAGGAGAAAGACAAAUAUAUAAAGCAUCUAUGCAUUUGGACAAAGUUUGGAAGACAUGUAAAAAUUAAAAUAGUAUCAAGAUGGUGGAAUUAUGAAUAUGCUUUUCUUUUUGGAAAACAUUGCUGUUAGGAUUUCAAGUUUAAAAAAGGAGCACAUUAAGAUAUGCCAAUCACCUUUGACAAGAACACCCUGAAAAGAUACAAUUUGAUUAUGAAUUUAAAAUGCCUCAACUUUCCUAACUACUUCUAAUUUGCUGAAACCUCUUAUCAGAUCUCUGCUGGCAAGAAAAGAGUGAUAUGACAAUAUAGAAUUUUUUAUAUUAACAGAAGUGUAAUAUUUCAUCAUGGGUUCAUUCUCAUUCCUUUAAACUCCAGAGUAAGGACUAGAUUUUUUUUUUCAUCUAAUUCAGUUCUUUGCUUCAUCUUGUACUUAUAAUGCAGCCCCAAGCAGGGUAUAAGAGUAAGUAAUACAUGAAGAAAAACAAGAAAACUGCCAAAUGGCAGGUGCUACUCAGAACAGGACUCUGCUUCACUAUAAUCCCAGACUUAAGUAUAGAGAUAGAGGAGGUCCCUAGUGGCUUGAGGGUUAAGGACCUGGCAUUGUCACUGCUAUGGCUUGGAUCACGGCUGUGGUCCAAAAAAAGAAAUAUACAUGGAGAGAGAAUAUUUAUUCUUUAAUUAAAUUAAUAACCUAAUAAUCUAGGCUUAAAAGCCUUGAUAAGGCAAGUUACCUGAUAUACUUCUUAGUACAUUAAUUCAGCCAAUAUUUACUGAGUCUCUACACUGUGUAGGGCACUGGGUUGUGGUUAAACAUAAAAUAUAAAAUGUUAUCCUCACCCUUAAAUAACUUCCAUUUGCUCUUGGGAUAUAUCUGCAAUGUUAUGAAUCAGCCCAGAAAGAGCUCUCCUGCCCCUUGUCACCAUCAUGUACUUCUGCCUUGCCCUACAGGAGCUGCUGAGUUAUUAAGAGGACAGAGGGUACACUGUUGGGUGGAACAGGCAUUCUAAUUGAAAAAGAAGUGUGGCUUCUGAAAGGAAAGUGGAGAUGAUCAGAUUUCAGGAGGCAAUCUGGCUGCCCAAAAGCUGGGGGCAUAUAGUAAAUGGUGGAUUCAAAGGCAGCAGGUCAAGAGUUCUGAAAACUCCAAGUGCUGUACACAGAGGCACCCAGAAGGACAUUCUCACACGAAACAAGGAAAAAAAUGUGCUAUUUAAUUCAAAGAGAUAAUACCCCUGGCAUGUACUUUGACUAAAGUUUUUAUUGGUAAUGAGUUCUUCCAAACUCUUUUAUCCUAAUCUGCCUUAUGACCACAGUAGGAUUUCUUUAACACUCUUAAUUAUUCUGAGUGCUAAAGCAAUAGACAACAUCUUUCAUUUGUGUAAUUCUUCAUAAAUUUCAAAGCGCUUUCACAUAUUUUAUCUGAUUUGAUCUUCACAGCCGCCCCAGGGGGUAGGAAAGGCAAAUAGUAUUACCUCCUCUUCAUUCACUAAGAUACUAAGUCUCAAAAAGAUCAAGGGACACCUCAGGGAUUGCAAAUCCCAAUGUGCAGACCUGGAACCAACCCUAUGGUAUUUCCAGCCACACCACCAAAUCUUUUUCUUUUAUCUCUUUAUAAACUAACAUCUAAAGAAUUUUCACCAACCAUGGUAUGUUAAAGCUAUCCGUGGGGAACACUGCAGUGGCCUCCCCAAUAUUUAUACCACCUCCCCUCCAUCUCCACCACCAUUACAAGAGUAGCUGUAAAAAUCAAAUGAGACUAGCCUCAGCCUCACCUCAGGGAAGGGGUACUAUAGUUGGCCUAGCUGACCAAGGAAGAAAUGGAAAGGGCAAAAACCGGAACAAGGGACCCUGUUAUAGUGUAAUAAUAAUCUUGGAUCAAAAACACUGAUGACCUGAGAAUACAGUCAACUUCUAAAUAUUUAGAUAGGAACUAUCCAAAUUCAAACUUUAGUCCUAGACCAGCUUCUUUCCUCCACCCAUCAAAUGUUAGACCAUCUCUUUCCAAAAUCAGUUACUCUGCGUUCAAGAAUGGAAAAUUAGGAGUUCCCUUGUGGCCUAGCAAUUAAGGAUUCAGCAUUGUCACUGCUGUGGCUGGGGUUUGACACCUGGCCAGGGGAACUUUCAUGUGCCUCGGGAACAGCCAAGGAAAAAAAAUGAAAAAUUAAUUUGUGAUCAGCUUAGGAGAAAUAUAGCUGGGGAAGGAAAACUAUGGAGGGAAUUAUAACGCUUUCCAAAGCUAAAUAUUAGUUACUUGAAUUAGCUAAUUUAAAUUAUUACCAGAACCUAUCCCUCUCUAUGCAUGUGUAUAAUUAAAGGCUGUUAAU